UUUUUUUUUGUGUUUUUUAG
This 20-nucleotide small RNA is filed under the name Arabidopsis thaliana (thale cress). Its description in RNAcentral is "ATSL195430". Lineage: Eukaryota; Viridiplantae; Streptophyta; Magnoliopsida; Brassicales; Brassicaceae. The record is from RNAcentral.